Pelobates cultripes (western spadefoot toad) is the source of this 343-nucleotide non-coding RNA. The record is from the annotation of a GenBank genome assembly. Lineage: Eukaryota; Metazoa; Chordata; Amphibia; Anura; Pelobatidae.
AUUGCUUCCUAGUGACAGACACUCAGACGGUCACUAGAGGUGCUUCCUGUGUCAGUGCGGAUUGGCUGAGAUCAUCAAGCUUGAUGAUCUCAGUCGUAGAGGCAGGGCCAGUCGGGGAGAGACCAGCAUGACGUGGGGGGGAAAAAAGGUGAGUAAAAACACACAUACCAUGACAGACACACACCAUGACACAGACACACACCGUGACACAGACAGAAACACACACACACACCAUGACACAGACAGAAACACACACACACCAUGACCGAGACACACACAUACCAUGACAGACACACACCUUAACACAGACAGACCGUGACACAGACACACACACAUGACACAG